AUUGAACGCUGGCGGCAGGCCUAACACAUGCAAGUCGAGCGGCAGCGGAAAGUAGCUUGCUACUUUGCCGGCGAGCGGCGGACGGGUGAGUAAUGUCUGGGAAACUGCCUGAUGGAGGGGGAUAACUACUGGAAACGGUAGCUAAUACCGCAUAACGUCGCAAGACCAAAGAGGGGGACCUUCGGGCCUCUUGCCAUCAGAUGUGCCCAGAUGGGAUUAGCUAGUAGGUGGGGUAACGGCUCACCUAGGCGACGAUCCCUAGCUGGUCUGAGAGGAUGACCAGCACCACUGGAACUGAGGCACGGUCCAGACUCCUACGGGAGGCAGCAGUGGGGAAUAUUGAACAAUGGGCGCAAGCCUGAUGCAGCCAUGCCGCGUGUAUGAAGAAGGCCUUCGGGUUGUAAAGUACUUUCAGCGGGGAGGAAGGCGAUAAGGUUAAUAACCUUGCCGAUUGACGUUACCCGCAGAAGAAGCACCGGCUAACUCCGUGCCAGCAGCCGCGGUAA
RNAcentral lists this ribosomal RNA (506 nucleotides) under uncultured bacterium. RNAcentral describes it as "partial 16S ribosomal RNA". It matches the Rfam family "Bacterial small subunit ribosomal RNA", at positions 30 to 523 of the family's 1533-position model. The record is from RNAcentral.